CAGCCGCCGCGGUAAUACCAACCCCGCGAGUGGUCGGGACGUUUAUUGGGCCUAAAGCGUCCGUAGCCGGCCCGGUAAGUCCCUCCUUAAAGCCCACGGCUCAACCGUGGGAGCGGAGGGAUACUGCCGGGCUAGGGGGCGGGAGAGGCCGGGGGUACUCCUGGGGUAGGGGCGAAAUCCUAUAAUCCCAGGAGGACCACCAGUAGCGAAGGCGCCCGGCUAGCACGCGCCCGACGGUGAGGGACGAAAGCUGGGGGAGCAAAGGGGAUUAGAUACCCCCGUAGUCCCAGCUGUAAACGAUGCAGGCUAGGUGUUAGGCGGGCUUCGUGCCCGCCUAGUGCCGUAGGGAAGCCGUUAAGCCUGCCGCCUGGGGAGUACGGCCGCAAGGCUGAAACUUAAAGGAAUUGGCGGG
Molecule: ribosomal RNA, 412 nt
Filed under: uncultured microorganism
Description: bacterial SSU rRNA
Rfam family: Archaeal small subunit ribosomal RNA
Source: RNAcentral